GACGAACGCUGGCGGCGUGCUUAACACAUGCAAGUCGAGCGGUAAGGCCCUUUCGGGGGUACACGAGCGGCGAACGGGUGAGUAACACGUGGGUGACCUGCCCUCAGCUCUGGGAUAAGCCUGGGAAACCGGGUCUAAUACUGGAUAUGACUCCAUGACGCAUGUUGUGGGGUGAAAGCCUUGUGCGGCUGAGGAUGGGCCCGCGGCCUAUCAGCUUGUUGGUGGGGUGANGGGCCUACCAAGGCGACGACGGGUAGCCGGCCUGAGA
RNAcentral lists this ribosomal RNA (268 nucleotides) under uncultured bacterium. RNAcentral describes it as "partial 16S ribosomal RNA". It matches the Rfam family "Bacterial small subunit ribosomal RNA", at positions 28 to 297 of the family's 1533-position model. The record is from RNAcentral.